This 491-nucleotide ribosomal RNA is filed under the name uncultured bacterium. RNAcentral's name for it is "partial 16S ribosomal RNA". It matches the Rfam family "Bacterial small subunit ribosomal RNA", at positions 29 to 507 of the family's 1533-position model. The record is from RNAcentral.
AGUGAACGCUGGCGGUAGGCCUAACACAUGCAAGUCGAACGGCAGCACAGUAAGAGCUUGCUCUUACGGGUGGCGAGUGGCGGACGGGUGAGGAAUACAUCGGAAUCUACUUUUUCGUGGGGAUAACGUAGGGAAACUUACGCUAAUACCGCAUACGACCUACGGGUGAAAGCAGGGGAUCUUCGGACCUUGCGCGAUUGAAUGAGCCGAUGUCGGAUUAGCUAGUUGGCGGGGUAAAGGCCCACCAAGGCGACGAUCCGUAGCUGGUCUGAGAGGAUGAUCAGCCACACUGGAACUGAGACACGGUCCAGACUCCUACGGGAGGCAGCAGUGGGGAAUAUUGGACAAUGGUCGCAAGCCUGAUCCAGCCAUACCGCGUGGGUGAAGAAGGCCUUCGGGUUGUAAAGCCCUUUUGUUGGGAAAGAAAAGCAGCAGGUUAAUACCCCGCUGUUCUGACGGUACCCAAAGAAUAAGCACCGGCUAACUUCGUG